Molecule: ribosomal RNA, 448 nt
Filed under: Bacteroidetes bacterium oral taxon 281
Lineage: Bacteria; Pseudomonadati; Bacteroidota
Description: bacterial SSU rRNA
Rfam family: Bacterial small subunit ribosomal RNA
Source: RNAcentral
GAUGAACGCUAGCGGCAGGCCUAACACAUGCAAGUCGAGGGGCAUCGAGAUGGCAGCAAUGUCAUUGUCGGCGACCGGCGAACGGGUGCGUAACGCGUGAACAACUUGCCCGACACAGGGGGAUAAUCGUCGGAAACGUCGUCUAAUAUCCCAUAAGAUAAACAUAGGCAUCUAUGUUUAUUGAAAGUUUUAUAGAGCGGUGUCGGAUAGGUUCGCGUGACAUUAGCUAGUCGGUGGGGCAACGGCCCACCGAGGCGACGAUGUCUAGGGGUUCUGAGAGGAAGGCCCCCCACACUGGGACUGAGACACGGCCCAGACUCCUACGGGAGGCAGCAGUGAGGGAUAUUGGACAAUGGGCGGAAGCCUGAUCCAGCCAUGCCGCGUGAAGGAAUAAGGGUCCUAUGGGGUCGUAAAACUUCUUUUGAACGCAAGAAGCAAAUAAAGGGAA